This 325-nucleotide long non-coding RNA is filed under the name Salmo salar (Atlantic salmon). RNAcentral describes it as "lncRNA (ENSSSAG00000071641.2, ENSSSAG00020075165.1, ENSSSAG00075045187.1)". The record is from RNAcentral. Lineage: Eukaryota; Metazoa; Chordata; Actinopteri; Salmoniformes; Salmonidae.
UGACAACAUUACAGGGAGGCAAAUUGUUCCAGUGUUCUUUUUGAACACCAACUCCGCUGCACCUUGGUCUUCUUCUCUCCAUGACGACAGCCCUUACAGAAUUACCCACCACAAAAGGACCAAGCAGCGGAGGAGGAAGGAGCCACAGGAGAACAGCGUGAUGGACUGGACAUGGGAGGACAUCCUGGACGGCAAGGGAUCCUACACUUGGGAGGAGAUCCUGGUCGGAAGGGAUCGCCUUCCAUGGGAACAGGUAGUGGCACUCAGAAGAGUGGAGGCAGCAGGUGAGAAGGACCAACGGCGAUGGUAUGAGGGAACACGGCUG